This 484-nucleotide ribosomal RNA is filed under the name uncultured bacterium. Its description in RNAcentral is "partial 16S ribosomal RNA". It matches the Rfam family "Bacterial small subunit ribosomal RNA", at positions 30 to 507 of the family's 1533-position model. The record is from RNAcentral.
AUUGAACGCUGGCGGCAGGCCUAACACAUGCCAGUCGAGCGGAUGAAGGGAGCUUGCUCCUGGAUUCAGCGGCGGACGGGUGAGUAAUGCCUAGGAAUCUGCCUGGUAGUGGGGGAUAACGUCCGGAAACGGGCGCUAAUACCGCAUACGUCCUGAGGGAGAAAGUGGGGGAUCUUCGGACCUCACGCUAUCAGAUGAGCCUAGGUCGGAUUAGCUAGUUGGUGGGGUAAAGGCCUACCAAGGCGACGAUCCGUAACUGGUCUGAGAGGAUGAUCAGUCACACUGGAACUGAGACACGGUCCAGACUCCUACGGGAGGCAGCAGUGGGGAAUAUUGGACAAUGGGCGAAAGCCUGAUCCAGCCAUGCCGCGUGUGUGAAGAAGGUCUUCGGAUUGUAAAGCACUUUAAGUUGGGAGGAAGGGCCGUAAGUUAAUACCUUGCUGUUUUGACGUUACCAACAGAAUAAGCACCGGCUAACUUCGUG